RNAcentral lists this ribosomal RNA (468 nucleotides) under uncultured bacterium. RNAcentral describes it as "partial 16S ribosomal RNA". It matches the Rfam family "Bacterial small subunit ribosomal RNA", at positions 28 to 507 of the family's 1533-position model. The record is from RNAcentral.
GACGAACGCUGGCGGCGUGCUUAACACAUGCAAGUCGAACGGAAAGGCCCUGCUUUUUUGGGGUGCUCGAGUUGCGAACGGGUGAGUAACACGUGAGUAACCUGCCCUUGACUUUGGGAUAACUUCAGGAAACUGGGGCUAAUACCGGAUAGGAGCUCCUGCUUCAUGGUGGGGCUUGGAUAGUUUCGGCGGUUGGUGAUGGACUCGCGGCUUAUCAGCUUGUUGGUGGGGUAGUGGCUUACCAAGGCUUUGACGGGUAGCCGGCCUGAGAGGGUGACCGGCCACAUUGGGACUGAGAUACGGCCCAGACUCCAACGGGAGGGAGGGGUGGGGAAUAGUACACAAUAGGCGGAAGCCAGAUGCAGCAAAGCAGCGUGCGGGAUGACGGCCUUCGGGUUGUAAACCGAUUUCGCCUGUGACGAGGCGUGAGUGACGGUAAUGGGUAAAGAAGCACCGGCUAACUACGUG